GCACUACUGACGAGUCUCAAACAGGACGUAACAGCUGUCCAGUGC
Non-coding RNA from Echinostoma caproni, 45 nucleotides. The record is from Rfam. Lineage: Eukaryota; Metazoa; Platyhelminthes; Trematoda; Plagiorchiida; Echinostomatidae.